UAAAAAGAUAAGCUAAGUUUAAGCUAGUGGGCUCAUACCCCAACAAUGAAUACAUUUUCUCUUUUUAA
Molecule: transfer RNA, 68 nt
Filed under: Cancer pagurus (edible crab)
Lineage: Eukaryota; Metazoa; Arthropoda; Malacostraca; Decapoda; Cancridae
Description: tRNA-Met
Source: RNAcentral